GGAAGAAAGGUCCUACAUGAGGAUAAAGAGCCUUGUUUUGUAGCCAAGGAUGACUUGCCUGCAGCCUCCCAAGGGCUCUCUCUCUCUCUCUAAAUAUAAUGUGGCGCUAUAGCUAAGCUUGGUUUAGAAUCCUUGUGUGAUCUACAGGCAGUCUCCUUGGCUACCGAGACAGGUUCUUUUAUCUCAUGCUGGACCUCUUCUUCC
This 204-nucleotide microRNA precursor is filed under the name Prunus persica (peach). The record is from RNAcentral. Lineage: Eukaryota; Viridiplantae; Streptophyta; Magnoliopsida; Rosales; Rosaceae.